Peromyscus eremicus (cactus mouse) is the source of this 1473-nucleotide long non-coding RNA. RefSeq lists it as uncharacterized. NCBI's taxonomy places the organism in Eukaryota, Metazoa, Chordata, Mammalia, Rodentia, Cricetidae. The transcript is spliced from 2 exons. The record is from RefSeq and is a predicted model, not a curated record.
UGUAAUGCUUGAAUGAGUCUGAUGCUUAUAAAGCCCUUGGCACAGCAUCUGGCACACAGGAAGCAUUCAGUAAACGCUAGUCACUGCUGGUACUGUCAUUCCUGGGAAUGGUGGUAAAGACGACGGUUUUCACAGUACUACCAAGCUGAGGGAUGCACCGGCUCCCCAGAGACUUCCUGAAGAAUAAAUAAAGGGCAAGAAGAGGGUGUCUGUCCUGGGGGAGAGCAUGUAGGGAAUGAUUUCCGUGUUUGAAGAUGCUCCAUGGACUUCUAUGCUCUUUCUUUGUUUUCUCAGGCCUGGGCACUCUCCCUCCCUUUCUUUCCGUUUGGCGUUCUUCCAAUGUCUGCUCAUCACGAGGGCUUUCCUUACAGCUCCAGCCACGGGCACUCUCUUCCACUUAACCUGUCACCCUUGCCUCUCCUUAGACCAGGAGUUAGAGGGCAGACUGUGCUGCUGGACCUCCUUCAGGGCAGGCUGUGCCCCUCUCCCCGCCGUGUGUGCAUUCCCCACAAACAGGGACAGAGUCGAACACAUACUCUGUGGUCUGGAGAUGAGUCUGGCCUCACUGAGGCUGCAGACCCGCUGCUUUGCCACAAUUGGAAGUUCUCUGCUCUCUCCCCUCCUCUCCCUACUCUUUUCCCACAAGGCCUGUGCCUGUCGCUCACUUCCUGGAACCCAAGAGACUUGGCUCUUUUGACCUCUGUACUCCUCCCAGAAUGCUUAUGCUCCCCAGUGUGGAUGCUUAGGCUCACCGGUGGGGCACCCCCACCCUACCAGCGGGAAGGUGGAGCAUCAUAGAUGAAGGAAGGGGAAUUAGCUGCCCCACCUCCCGGCGCAGACUUAGAUCAAUUUCUGGCCUCUUCAGACUGCACCCGGAGAGGCGCCACCCUGGUGCCAAAUGGGCUUCAUUCUUCAGCUUUCAUUAAGAAGCCUCUUAGUCAAGAGCCAGUCAGCUGACAGGAAAUAUCAUCAGGUAUUUGAAGUGAGAGGGGACAAGACAUGUUGACAAGAACGAAGCUAUUAACCAGGGAAGCAUCAGAGAGGACCACUGCUGGAGAGCUACAGGAAGCAGCCUCUCCCCUGAGGGCUGGGCAUGGGGAGAGGUGGGAAUCAUUCCAAUGUAAAAACCCAAAGCUGUGGCUACAGUCUCUGAGCUGGAGAGGGGUUCAUGGGACUGGAAGUCUCCUGGAACAGGGACAUGGCGAGGCUGAUUCUGCAAGUGUUGGGCAAAGUAUAAACUGCCAUGACAGAGGCUCUCACCUCAGGCCGAAGAGAGGAGGCUAAGGUGAUCCUGGCAGGAGCAGAAAUCCCGCAGGAAGCAGACAGAAGGGAACCAGUCCUUCCUUCCUCUGCCUGCCACAUCCUUACCAUGGAGAAGAUGUCUCACAGAGCCAGCUGGCAAAGCAGAAUUGUGGUUGGCAGAGUCUCGGCUCCAGCAUCACACAGGCUGGGCUUGGAGCAGAGAGGCAAGAA